Molecule: unclassified non-coding RNA, 255 nt
Filed under: plant metagenome
Description: partial contains small subunit ribosomal RNA and internal transcribed spacer 1
Rfam family: Eukaryotic small subunit ribosomal RNA (bases 1-46)
Source: RNAcentral
AAGUCGUAACAAGGUUUCCGUAGGUGAACCUGCGGAAGGAUCAUUACAAAUAAAGCUGGUAGGAAGUGGGGUCUUGAUCUGUAAGUGGUAGAGCGAACAGUCCGGCUGCCUCCCGAAAUGUCUUACAUGUCCCCCACAGCCUGAAGGCCGAAUUACAACCCUUGAUUAUCUACACUUGUUGCUUCGUGGGUGCUCAGCUGCCCAGACGACCACUCUUCUGCAUUAGUGACGUCGAGUACUAUAUAAUAUUUAAAA